UACGGAAGGCAGCAGUGGGGAAUAUUGCACAAUGGGCGAAAGCCUGAUGCAGCUAUGCCGCGUGUAUGAAGAAGGCCUUAGGGUUGUAAAGUACUUUCAUCGGGGAGGAAAAAACAAAACUAAUAAUUUUAUUUCUUGACGUUACCCGAAAAAGAAGCACCGGCUAACUCCGUGCCAGCAGCCGCGGUAAUACGGAGGGUGCUAGCGUUAAUCAGAAUUACUGGGCGUAAAGAGCACGUAGGUGGUUUUUUUAAGUCAGAUGUGAAAUCCCUGGGCUUAACCUGGAACUGCAUUUUGAAACUGAAAUACUAGAGUAUCGUAGAGGGAGGUAGAAUUCUAGGUGUAGCGGUGAAAUGCGUAGAUAUCUGGAGGAAUACCUGUGGCGAAAGCGGCCUCCUAAACGAAUACUGACACUGAGGUGCGAAAGCGUGGGGAGCGAAACAGGGAUUAGGAU
RNAcentral lists this ribosomal RNA (454 nucleotides) under uncultured bacterium. RNAcentral's name for it is "bacterial SSU rRNA". It matches the Rfam family "Bacterial small subunit ribosomal RNA", at positions 340 to 784 of the family's 1533-position model. The record is from RNAcentral.